This 689-nucleotide long non-coding RNA is filed under the name Monodelphis domestica (gray short-tailed opossum). RNAcentral describes it as "lncRNA (ENSMODG00000033322.2)". Lineage: Eukaryota; Metazoa; Chordata; Mammalia; Didelphimorphia; Didelphidae. The record is from RNAcentral.
ACUGUGACAUAGAGCCUGCCUCUCUCUGCUUCCUAGUACUGAUCCGCCAAAUCCAGGAGGUCACAAGAGGAUUCUCCUCUGUCCUCACAGACGACCAUCGAUUUUGAGUCGGAGAGGGUCUUCGAGGCCAGGCCGUUUAUUCCAAUGGACUCCUUGGAGGGUGAGAGACCUGAGGCCCAGAGAAAAGCAACUGGCUUAAGAUUCCACGGUAAAUUGCCAAGACAGAAUUAAGACCCUGGACCCUGGAUUAUGGAGCCAACACUCUACGCCAGGGGUCCUUAACCUGGCAUCCAUGAACUUGGCUUAAAAAAAAUUGAUAACUGUAUUUCAGUAUGAUUUUCUUUGUAAUGCAAUGUCUUUUAUUUGAUGUCUUUAAGAUAUUCUACAGAGGAGGGUCCAUAGAGGAGUCCAGGAUGGUGCGAUAAGAGCUAAGAAUCCUAGCCGUACAUUGAGUCACGCAUGGGGCCUGUCGGUGUUUUCAGUCUGACACUGGAUCUCCAUGUGCUCCCAUGUCACAUUCCUGGGGAGUUCUCGAUGCAUCAUCCUGAAAGAAUCCCCUUAUGGCUACAAUAGACCACUCUUGGAGAGGUGAUUUGCAUUCUGGGGCAGUUGACUGGUAAGAGCUCCCCUCCCCACCUUCCCAUCCCCUUUUCAUUUUGGGUGGGACAUAGUGAGUGGCACAGUAUGAG